This 73-nucleotide transfer RNA is filed under the name Methanogenium sp. Its description in RNAcentral is "tRNA-Ala". It matches the Rfam family "tRNA". From Rfam's summary of the family: Transfer RNA (tRNA) molecules are approximately 80 nucleotides in length. Their secondary structure includes four short double-helical elements and three loops (D, anti-codon, and T loops). RNAcentral also lists the same sequence under 2 other names. Lineage: Archaea; Methanobacteriati; Methanobacteriota; Methanomicrobia; Methanomicrobiales; Methanomicrobiaceae. The record is from RNAcentral.
GGGCUUAUAGCUCAGUUGGAAGAGCGCGGCGUUUGCAACGCCGAGGCCAGGGGUUCAAAUCCCCUUAAGUCCA